Molecule: non-coding RNA, 23 nt
Filed under: Arabidopsis thaliana (thale cress)
Lineage: Eukaryota; Viridiplantae; Streptophyta; Magnoliopsida; Brassicales; Brassicaceae
Source: RNAcentral
UAUGCGAAGUUGAUUGAGAAGAU